This 200-nucleotide ribosomal RNA is filed under the name uncultured eukaryote. RNAcentral's name for it is "partial 18S ribosomal RNA". It matches the Rfam family "Eukaryotic small subunit ribosomal RNA", at positions 588 to 794 of the family's 1831-position model. The record is from RNAcentral.
GCUCCAAUAGCGUAUAUUAAAGUUGUUGCAGUUAAAAAGCUCGUAGUUGAAUUUUGGAUCAGUCCUGCCGGUCCGCCUAACGGCUGGUACUGGCUAGGCUGAUCUCCUUUCUGGCUAUCUGGCCUGCCUUUAACCGGGUGUGUCAGAGAACCAGGACUUUUUACCUUGAAAAAAUUAGAGUGUUCAAAGCAGGCUUACGC